UACGUAGGGCGCGAGCGUUAAUCGGAAUUACUGGGCGUAAAGCGUGCGCAGGCGGUUUUGUAAGUCAGAUGUGAAAGCCCCGGGCUCAACCUGGGAACUGCGUUUGAAACUGCAAGGCUAGAGUGUAGCAGAGGGGGGUAGAAUUCCACGUGUAGCAGUGAAAUGCGUAGAGAUGUGGAGGAAUACCAAUGGCGAAGGCAGCCCCCUGGGUUAACACUGACGCUCAUGCACGAAAGCGUGGGGAGCAAACAGG
This 253-nucleotide ribosomal RNA is filed under the name uncultured bacterium. RNAcentral describes it as "partial 16S ribosomal RNA". It matches the Rfam family "Bacterial small subunit ribosomal RNA", at positions 524 to 776 of the family's 1533-position model. The record is from RNAcentral.